CGGACGGGUGAGUAACACGUGGAUAACCUACCUAUAAGACUGGGAUAACUUCGGUAAACCGGAGCUAAUACCGGAUAAUAUUUUGAACCGCAUGGUUCAAAAGUGAAAGACGGUCUUGCUGUCACUUAUAGAUGGAUCCGCGCUGCAUUAGCUAGUUGGUAAGGUAACGGCUUACCAAGGCAACGAUGCAUAGCCGACCUAAGAGGGUGAUCGGCCACACUGGAACUGAGACACGGUCCAG
RNAcentral lists this ribosomal RNA (241 nucleotides) under uncultured Staphylococcus sp. RNAcentral describes it as "partial 16S ribosomal RNA". It matches the Rfam family "Bacterial small subunit ribosomal RNA", at positions 99 to 334 of the family's 1533-position model. Lineage: Bacteria; Bacillati; Bacillota; Bacilli; Caryophanales; Staphylococcaceae. The record is from RNAcentral.